Molecule: unclassified non-coding RNA, 258 nt
Filed under: uncultured Pleosporales
Lineage: Eukaryota; Fungi; Ascomycota; Dothideomycetes; Pleosporales
Description: sequence contains 5.8S rRNA gene, ITS2, 28S rRNA gene
Source: RNAcentral
AACGCACAUUGCGCCCCUUGGUAUUCCAUGGGGCAUGCCUGUUCGAGCGUCAUCUACACCCUCAAGCUCUGCUUGGUGUUGGGCGUCUGUCCCCGCCUCUGCGCGGCGGACUCGCCCCAAAUUCAUUGGCAGCGGUGUCUUUUUGCCUCAGUCUCGCGCAGCACAUUGCGCUUGCAGCACUGUCGGCGGCCCGCAAUCCAGCAAGCUCCUUUCACCGUCUUUGACCUCGGAUCAGGUAGGGAUACCCGCUGAACUUAA